AAUUGAGGUACGCAGAAGAUGAACAAACCUGAGAACUGAUGAUCCAAAGAAGAGUCGGAGCUCGAGCAUCACAUAGCCGUCAGCUAUGGUGGCUUGUAGGCGGAUGUGUCUCAGACCUAAGUUUUUGCCGCUGGACCGUGGUUACGUUCAUCCUAGCUUGGAGGCAAUGGUGCGGGUGGGUAUGCAUGUGCAGGGCGAAGAAGUGGACGAAGGCCGAAGUAGCAAUCUCUGCCUCCCUAUCGCUGCGUCCUGCUCCUCAAUAUGUCACCUUAGUCAUGGCCGCCUUAUCCCUCAUGCUGCUGAUUUGAAUCUGCCCUACUCUUCUUCUCCUAGACUGCUCGAGCGCUUCAGCGGGUGCCUUCCCAACGACAGGGAAGGAAGGACCAGAGUAAGUAUAAUAUGGAAGUUCCUGUUCAAAUUAGUAGAAUAUGCUUACCAGGUGUUAGAAUUUAUAGAUAUAUACCACAAUUUUCACUACAGAUUAAAUAUAAUAUGAAAGUUCUUGUCAGUUUUCUUUGUAGUUAGUUUGCGACAAUCACAACAUGAUCAUUUGAAUAUUUUGUUGUAACAAAUCUAUUAUAGCUAUUGUUGUGAAAGAAAAAUCCUUAAAAAAUCACCCAAUAGCAACCCGAGGAAGUUAAGAGACAUAAAUGAUCCAGAUAUGGUUCCAUUAUGCUCCCUCUGUUCGAUAAUAUAUGACGUUUUCUGGCAGUACACAAUGCCAAAAACGUCUUAUAUUAUGGGACAGAAGCGAGUUUGUGAUUUUUUUGGUUAUUCUUGAUUCCACAUGCUUCAUUUGGGUGAAUAAUCCAUUGGCAUCCAAAUUUGGAGAUUAAUUCACCUAUGUAAUGUGCAUAAUCAAUGACACAUUUUUGCUAUGAUGAAUAUGUAAAUAAAUUUUGUACAAUUCCAUAAAUACACAGUUAAGCAUUUUUGUUGUAAAGAUAAUGUAGAUAAUUUUUUAUAGCUUUGCAAAUAAGAUUAACCUUGGUGUAUAAAUCCGAUCAGAGUAGAGGUAGCUAUGCAAUGGUCUUGCGUCACAUCAUUAGUCUAAGGCUCUAACCACAUUCAUGGAGAAUCUAACAUCCCAACUACGCAUAUCUGUUUGUUCCAGAAGCCAAGAAAUUGAGGUACGCAGAAGAUGAACAAACCUGAGAAUUGAUGAUCGAAUGAAGAGUCGGAGCUCGAGCAUCACAUAGCCGUCAGCUAUGGUGGCUUGUGGGCGGAUAUUUCUCAGACCUAAGUUGUUGCCGCUGGACCGUGGUUACAUUCAUCCUAGCUUGGAGGAAAUGGUGCGGGAAGAUAUGCAUGUGCAGGGCGAAGAAGUGGACGAAGGCCGAAGCAGCAAUCUCUGCCUCCCUAUCGCUGCGUCCUGCUCCUCAAUAUGUCACCUUAGUCAUGGCCGCCUUAUCCCUCAUGCUGCUGAUUUGAAUCUGCCCUACUCUUCUUCUCCUAGACUGCUCGAGCGCUUCAGCGGGUGCCUUGCCGACGACAGGGAAGGAAGGACCAGAGCAAGUAUAAUAUGGAAGUUCCUGUUCAAAUUAGUAGAAUAUGCUUACCAGGUGUUAGAAUUUAUAGAUAUAUACCACAAUUUUCACUACAGAUUAAAUAUAAUAUGAAAGUUCUUGUCAGUUUUCUUUGUAGUUAGUUUGCGACAAUCACAACAUGAUCAUUUGAAUAUUUUAUUAUAGCUAUUGUUGUGAAAGAAAAAUCCUUAAAAAAUCACCCAAUAGCAACCUGAGGAAGUUAAGAGACAUAAAUGAUCCAGAUAUGGUUCCAUUAUGCUCCCUCUGUUCGAUAAUAUAUGACGUUUUCUGGCAGUACACAAUGCCAAAAACGUCUUAUAUUAUGGGACAGAAGCGAGUUUGUGAUUUUUUUGGUUAUUCUUGAUUCCACAUGCUUCAUUUGGGUGAAUAAUCCACUGGCAUCCAAAUUUGGAGAUUAAUUCACCUAUGUAAUGUGCAUAAUCAAUGACACAUUUUUGCUAUGAUGAAUAUGUAAAUAAAUUUUGUACAAUUCCAUAAAUACACAGUUAAGCAUUUUUGUUGUAAAGAUAAUGUAGAUAAUUUUUUAUAGCUUUGCAAAUAAGAUUAACCUUGGUGUAUAAAUCCGAUCAGAGUAGAGGUAGCUAUGCAAUGGUCUUGCAUCACAUCAUUAGUCUAAGGCUCUAACCACAUUCAUGGAGAAUCUAACAUCUCAACUACGCAUAUCUGUUUGUUGCAGAAGCCACGAAAUUGAGGUACGCAGAAGAUGAACAAACCUGAGAACUGAUGAUCCAAAGAAGAGUCGGAGCUCGAGCAUCACAUAGCUGUCAGCUAUGGUGGCUUGUAGGCGGAUGUGUCUCAGACCUAAGUUUUUGCCGCUGGACCGUGGUUACGUUCAUCCUAGCUUGGAGGCAACGGUGUGGGUGGGUAUGCAUGUGCAAGGCGAAGAAGUGGACGAAGGCCGAAGAAGCAAUCUCUGCCUCCCUAUCGCUGCGUCCUGCUCCUCAAUAUGUCACCUUAGUCAUGGCCGCCUUAUCCCUCAUGCUGCUGAUUUGAACCUACCCUACUCUUCUUCUCCUAGACUGCUCGAGCGCUUCAGCGGUGCCUCGCUGACGACAGGGAAGGAAGGAUCAGAAGUGACGGCUAUAGCCCUAGGAAUUUGGAAACCAUAGGAAUUGAUCUUCUUUAUAAAACGUGUGUGGCAAGGGACGUGGAACCUGCUUCAGGGAAGACGAGAUGGAUCAUGUGAGAGAAGGGACCAGUUUUUUUUGCCAAUUGCCUAGUCCAUAUUGUCCAUGUAUUCGAAGCAUGCAAACGUGUGGCUCCUGGAGUUUGUAUUGCUCUUGGAUAUGUGUAAGCGUUUGGUUUUUUAUUUUUCCCUUUUUUGCUUUCCAAUUCGGACAUGCAUCAGUUCGUACCUGAUUGUAUUAGACUCAAACAAUACGUGUCCAAGUUUUAUUGCUCUUGGAUAUGUGUAAGCGUUUUGUUUUUUAUUUUUCCCUUUUUUGCUCUCCAAUUCGGACAUGCAUCAGUUCGUACCUGAUUGUAUUGGACUCAAACAAUACGUGUCCAAGUUUUUUUAAAACAAUAUGUGUCCAUGUAUUUCUUCCCGUGCGCCCUAGUGUUAUGGUUCUAUAUGCAUCUAACGUGGCAACAUAAAGGUUCAAUAUUGCUGGUACAUAUAUUUUUACAUGUUACAUAGAAACUUUAAAUCUCAGCCGUUGUUAUUCUAAUCAAAUGGUGUAAAAACGAUUAGCAUAUAUGGACAAACGUGAUGGCUUAUUUUACUCUUGUUUUAAUUAUAUAUAUAAUAGAUGGCCGCAGCUAGGCGUAGGUCGGGUGAUAUGCUGGAUUUGUAAACCGCGUUCGCGUCCGUCC
RNAcentral lists this long non-coding RNA (3362 nucleotides) under Triticum aestivum (bread wheat). Its description in RNAcentral is "long non-coding RNA (TAES_LNC014747)". The record is from RNAcentral. Lineage: Eukaryota; Viridiplantae; Streptophyta; Magnoliopsida; Poales; Poaceae.